Long non-coding RNA from Brassica napus (rape), 1462 nucleotides. RefSeq lists it as uncharacterized. The record is from RefSeq and is a predicted model, not a curated record. The transcript is spliced from 2 exons. NCBI's taxonomy places the organism in Eukaryota, Viridiplantae, Streptophyta, Magnoliopsida, Brassicales, Brassicaceae.
AUCAUUAACGGGGUAUGCAACUCCCGUCUCUUACCAUUAAUUGGAUUUAAAAAAAAAGAAAAUUAGCAUAAUUAAUAGGAAACGUAUCUUAAUUAGGGGAAAGAAGAUACCGUCUUCUGAGACGCGUGUUGUGUAUUGGUUGUUCUUCUCCUUCUCUUCUUCGCCUUCUCGUUCUUCUGCUGCUUGGCUGUUCAUCUCUGUCUCGUGGAUCGAAAAACUAAAGCGAAUGGACAAAGGCAAAGCAGUGAUGGGUACUGGCCGGAGAUGGGCCGUCGAUUUCUCCGAUCAAUCCACCGUUCCAUCUUCCCGCGACAUUCUCGAUCCCCCUGGCUUCAUACGUGUAUAUCCUCCGCCUCUUCGAGCAGAUUUUGUUUUGUUUUCUUCAGCUCUUCCUCGUCUUUGGCGAUUCUCCUCCUAGCCUCCGUUAUCCAACCAUGAACGAGAAGGCCAACGUAUCCAAGGAGCUUAAUGCCCGCCACAGAAAGGUCUCUCUCUUUCGAUCGAAAUCUCAGACUGUUUUUGUUUUUUCUCUGAGCUAUGCUGAUUUGUAAUUAUAUAUUGUGAUCGAUGAUUAACCAUUGGAUCCUGGACGAUCUUAAUUCGCUUGGAUCUGUGAUUUUUAGCAGCUAAAUUUCUUCCUUUUUUAUUCGAUUAAUCAAAGUUAGGUGAGGUCUUACGAUCUUUUUUUAUUUGGGUAAUGAAUUGUCCUUCCAGAAAAAUCUAAUCUCCUGAUCACACAACAUACAAGAGAGACGAUCUCGUUUAAGUUUGUCUGUUUCUAUAGAAUUUCGUGGUUCUGUUGCUUGAUUUUGGAAGAAUCAAACAAAGGUAUCAAAUUCUUUUAUGUUUUUUAAAAUCUCUAUUAUAUCUUUUUCACUUUCUCGUUUAUUUAUCUGUUUUCUGCACUAUCUUAUUGCAUCCAUCCAUUAUAACAACGUCCCUUAAAUGAUAAGCGACCAUUUAUGCAUCUGCACUCUUCAGCAUGAUUAGUAAAAGUAACUUAGACUAAGCCAACAUGUUCUGUGAUUUAAUAAAGCUUUACCUUAGAUCUUAGUGUAUGUAAGUCAGUAAUUGCUUGCACCUAUUUCUUAUAUGCAAGGGUAGAACUCUUUAAUGGUAAAUGAGGUUUGAUAGAAGGUUGUAUACAAAACAUAGCCAAAACUGGAGUUGAUUUUGUCGCAAAGAAGAAUAGAAGGUGAUUCUACCUCACGGCAUCCAGUGGCAGGUGUUUGCAGCUUUUGGAUAUACAUCCAGACAAAUACAAGACGCUUCCAAACUCUCUUCCGGGUACCUUCUUUUCCUCACAUGUAUCAUUGUCUCGUAUUCUUUUGUUGGAUAUAUAUAGGGAACUUUGAUAUAUAAAGUACGAUUAUGUUGUCAACUAAAUUUUAGAACAUGUAAAUCACACAUGUUAUAGAUCAUUCAACAAUGUUUAUUUUUAUUUUUUUUAAGAACUCCUAAA